Molecule: ribosomal RNA, 253 nt
Filed under: uncultured bacterium
Lineage: Bacteria
Description: partial 16S ribosomal RNA
Rfam family: Bacterial small subunit ribosomal RNA
Source: RNAcentral
UACAGAGGUCUCAAGCGUUGUUCGGAUUCAUUGGGCGUAAAGGGUGCGUAGGCGGCGCGGUAAGUCGGGUGUGAAAUCUCGGAGCUUAACUCCGAAACUGCAUUUGAUACUGCCUUGCUUGAGGACUGGAGAGGAGACUGGAAUUCACGGUGUAGCAGUGAAAUGCGUAGAGAUCGUGAGGAAGACCAGUGGCGAAGGCGGGUCUCUGGACAGUUCCUGACACUGAGGCACGAAGGCCAGGGGAGCAAACGGG